Molecule: ribosomal RNA, 455 nt
Filed under: uncultured bacterium
Lineage: Bacteria
Description: bacterial SSU rRNA
Rfam family: Bacterial small subunit ribosomal RNA
Source: RNAcentral
UACGGGAGGCAGCAGUGGGGAAUAUUGCACAAUGGGCGCAAGCCUGAUGCAGCCAUGCCGCGUGUAUGAAGAAGGCCUUCGGGUUGUAAAGUACUUUCAGUCGUGAGGAAGGUGUUAAGGUUAAUAACCUUAGCAAUUGACGUUAGCGACAGAAGAAGCACCGGCUAACUCCGUGCCAGCAGCCGCGGUAAUACGGAGGGUGCGAGCGUUAAUCGGAAUUACUGGGCUAAAGGGCACGCAGGCGGUUAAUAAGUUGGAUGUGAAAUCCCCGGGCUUAACCUGGGAAUGGCAUUCAAGACUGGUUAGCUAGAGUCUUGUAGAGGGGGUGAAUUCCGAUGUGUAGCGGUGAAAUGCGUAGAGAUGUGGAGGAAUACCGGGUGGCGAAGGCGGCCCCUGGGACAAAGGACUGACGCUCAUGUGCGAAAGCGUGGGGAGCGAAACAGGGAUUAGAUACC